GAUUACCACCAUCAUCAUCCCCUUUUUCCCCAAAAUCAAAACCCUAAAUCCCUUCACCUCUACAUCACCUGAUCACCACCAAAUUGCUUCUUCAUGUGUGUGCCAAGUUGCUCCUUACACACGUGUUAAGGGCGGCUUUCUUCCCCAAAUUUGUAACCUCCUGAUUGUUGAAAUCUAUGACCGAGAGAGAGAACUGAAAGAGAAAGAGGGUUCAGCUAGACAGAGAGAUCAGAGAAGACACGCGACAGAGUAGACAUAGAGACAGGGUAGGGUGCUUCCACGUCUCCGGCGACAGAGACGGUGGUUAAACCGUCGGAAUGGGCGAGAACCCGGUGCCUGGUUCUCUGGCGGUGAGAUUCCGAAAACGUCCGGUGAGAACCUGGUGACAUGAACCAGGUAUGCAUGUAUCCUUUAUAGUCAGAUUGGGUCAUGGUUGUGGUUUACAACGGUGGUGGUGAUAGGGACGUGGUGGAAACCGGUCACGGAUAGGGUAGAGACACGUCUGGAGAGGAGAGAAAUAGAGUACAGAGAGACGACUGUUAGGGCAAAGGUUUCACCAUCGAAGAAGUAGGGCCAUCUGACGGAGAUCGCCAGUAGGAGCUGAACUGCUGAAGUCGAAGGAGAAAGGAACGGUGAAGGAACAUCCGAUACCGGCGCAGAGAUCGGUGAAAACGAUGGUGUUGAAGCCGGAGAUUUACCGAAUCAGAUCCAUACAUCUGCGGCCUUAAACGCUUCAACCUGCGGUGCAAACACCGUGAAUCCUUUAGCCGUUGCUAUCUGGUUAUGGUGAUGGUCGCAGCGGUUUCAGGUGAUGGGUGGUAAGGGUGGUGUUUGGUUCAAGAUGGCGGGGGCAUAGUGGUGAGGUGGCAAUUUCAGGAGGCUAGAGAGAGAGAGAUGUGGGGGAUAAAGUGUUUCUUUUGGCUAACGAUCUGGCGUAAUUUGUGAGCGCCACUACCGUCAGAGGUCGUUGAUAGGUAUGUUGACUAAUGGUUUGAGAUUUAUCAAAGAUUGGUGAAUUUUUUGCAUUGUGGUGAAGACUUACAAAAUUAGUUUAGUGUGUAAUGUGUAUUGAUGUUGCUGCUAUUCUUUUGAAUCCAUUUGAAGUAUGCCUUUUAGAGGAUUAUUUAUUACCCUCUUAUUUUAUACUUGCUUUGGGUUGUUUGGGAUUUGAUUCCUAAUUCGUGUUUUUGUAAUGGGUCAAAUUGAGUAAUUUUAGGUAUAUAUUGAAAUGGGUCGGGUGACCCACAAAAUAUAAAGUCAACAUGAUUUUAGAUUAUUUUAAUGACUCCAUUUUCGUGUGAAAUAAUUCAAGAGGCUUUACGAAUAGAAAUUACACCUGGGUCGGUUUAAUUUUUUUAACCCACCUGACCCAUCUGAUUGUUACUUCCAUGGGAGCGACAAUGAAUUUUGGCUUGACUCUGCCGACAACAUUCCGGCAAAGGCUUCCGGCUAUAGCAAGUAGUACAUCUCGAAGAAUAAAGUCAGUAUCGACCAUCGGGUGUCUUUUUAGCAGUGGAAAUGGAGAAGCCAGUGACCCAGACUACGGCAUCAGGUGGCGCCGCUGACCAAUUUAGGUUCGAAGUGGGUUUUGCCACAAUUUUAGAAGAGAAAAUCCCCAUGGAUAUAAAGAUAUUGGAAGGG
Helianthus annuus (common sunflower) is the source of this 1641-nucleotide long non-coding RNA. RefSeq lists it as uncharacterized. The record is from RefSeq and is a predicted model, not a curated record. Lineage: Eukaryota; Viridiplantae; Streptophyta; Magnoliopsida; Asterales; Asteraceae. The transcript is spliced from 3 exons.